GCUUCAUUAGGAAAUUUAGGCAAGUACAGUUGAGCAAUUACAGUACAGGACAAAGUUCCAUAUUUCAUCAUUUGUUACAUAGCAUGGAAAAGCAAUUCAAUCUUACACUAGAUUGAGAAAUAUGAAAGCAAAUUCAAGAUGACACACACCCACUGCACUGUCUAAAUCUUGUGAAUUCUAGUCACUAACCAGAACCACACAUACCAUAAGACAAUAACAAGGAUCAGAAUUCACCAUUAGUUUUAGAUCAAUAACAUCCGACCAACACACCAUAAAGUAUCAUAUAUCUAAUCAACUGAUGCCAAUGACAACAAGACAUCAAGGUCAGGGUUAACAAAGGAAGAAACAAGAGCCCAAAGUGAAAUUCUCCUAAGGAGAGAAUUACAACAUGACACUAGAAAAACUCCAAAUUACCCAUAUAUCAUAGCUUUUAUGCAGAGCAUAAACCAAAGUAUUUUGUAUUUGACAUUUUCCACAUAUAAGAGUUAAAGCCGAUCACUUAGCAAGUAUAUUUUGCUGAGCUUGAUUCUCCUGCUGCUGUUGAUAGUUCAAGGGCCUCCUGAAGAGCAU
This 570-nucleotide unclassified non-coding RNA is filed under the name Hevea brasiliensis (rubber tree). The record is from RNAcentral. Lineage: Eukaryota; Viridiplantae; Streptophyta; Magnoliopsida; Malpighiales; Euphorbiaceae.